Molecule: small RNA, 196 nt
Filed under: Caenorhabditis elegans
Lineage: Eukaryota; Metazoa; Nematoda; Chromadorea; Rhabditida; Rhabditidae
Description: Unclassified non-coding RNA Y73F8A.1169
Source: RNAcentral
UUACUUGCUGAACUGGUUGGGCACAUGAGCAGGAUGUCUGGACUGGAGCAGUGUUCUGACACGAACAACUGUACUGUUGUGGUUGAGUUGCUUGUUGGCAUGAACAACUUGGUUGAACUUGUGAAGCACAACCACAUGAUUGACGUUUAUCACGAAUUGAAGAUGCCUAGAAAUAAUAUAAUGUUUCAAGGUGUAC